Hemicordylus capensis (graceful crag lizard) is the source of this 2856-nucleotide long non-coding RNA. RefSeq lists it as uncharacterized. NCBI's taxonomy places the organism in Eukaryota, Metazoa, Chordata, Lepidosauria, Squamata, Cordylidae. The transcript has 3 exons. The record is from RefSeq and is a predicted model, not a curated record.
AGCUUGUUCUCCUGGCCGGCAAUCGAGCAGCAGACACGCUGCAAAGAGCAACUUUUCUCCCGCCUCUCAGCUGAUCGGCGGGUGGGUGGGGCUUCCACGGAGGUCUGGUGUAGGCCUCUGUGAAGCCUGAACUCCAGUAGGGCCCAAGCCAGCCAGGAAGGAGGAGGCAGCCAGAGAGGCCACCACUGUUCUCUGCAGCAGAAGACCCCCUGCUGCCAGGUCAUUCCAACUGAAUGUCUCUAGGCUGAAGAACGUUUUAUUCCAAAAGGCUUCUGAUCUGCAAGGUACUGAUUGUUUUUGGUUUUGGCCUAACAGGAUUAGUGUCGCUGUAUUUCAUCUGCUGCAUUCGUUUAUAUUAUGUGUAUAUAUUAUUAUUGUAUAUAUUAUAUUAUUAUUUUAUUUGUUUUGUUUUUAUUUGAUAUUAUGACUGUGUUUUGUCCAUGGUGCACUACUCUGUCUCAUAUUGAGACAGAAGGGUGAUGAUAUAAAUCAUUUCAAUAAAUGUAAAAUAAAUAGUAGUACAAGAAUUUAUAAUUCAUUCUGCUUACUCCCCAAAUUAUGCAUAUUAUCAGUGGCAUAUUUGUGGCAAAUCCCUCAUGUUUGACUGAACUAAGGCUUUUUUGUCUCCCCCAUGCCUGCCCAUUUCUGGCUCAUUUAAAGACAGCAUAAUGCCAGCAACCAGUAUUACUUGGUAGUGGAGUGAAGCUAUUUUGAUUGUCAGAAAGGUGUGGCAGUUAUUCUAUGUCAUCAUUAUAAGGAAAUACCAAUUACUGUGAGUAGGAGUGAGAAAUCAGACAUGUCAUAGUCCCUCUGUCUGUCAUUGGCUUGGUUGCUGUGAUGUCACAGAUGGACUCUGACCACACGCUGGAUACGCAAUGGAGUAUCUAAGGGGAGCUCACAUUUAAAUUCUAAGGUCAAUAAGCAGCUUUUGUUCAAUUAGUGUGCAUCUAAGAAGCCAGUGGGCUUUGGAUUACUUCUUAUUGGUGCAAGGUGGUUGUGUGGUUUCAGUGCCUUGUAAAAACAGACAUCAGUCACAGACAGAUGACAAUUCACUGCUUUUUUAAUGCGAUGGUGUGAGGUGUGUAACUUUCAUCUUUUGAUCAUUAAUGUUGCUCAGGCAAUAAAAUUACAACAACCAAGCUUUCCUCUCCUGAGUUCAUGUUAAUCAAAGUUUUGAUCCAGCAUCUAGCAGUGCACAGGUGGUUCUGAUUAACUUCAAUGAGAGUCCAAUACAGGCAUCAGAAGAAUGAAUUUGGCCUCCACUCUCCACCAGCCUAAAUGUAUUAUUUGGUCUGGGCAGUUUGGGGGAAGGGAUGGGUUGCUAAAAUAUGUUGAAAUGAAAUUCUGACAAUGUUUUCAAAGUGUGCAUCUGUUUAUUGGUGGAACUGUACAGCUGGAAGAUGGUUAAAUAUAGAUCUGCACAGCAUGGUUUGAUUUAAGUUGAAGAACGACCACCAGUUUGGAACAGUCUCCUGAUGAGUGAGUACCAGAGAGAUUCAAAAAGGCUGUGCACAUAAAUUUAAUGGAUCCAGAGUAAGAACAAAGAGAAGUCAAUGAGAAGGUGUUGGAGGAAGGCUCAGGUGGUCGCAAGCUGAAGGAAAUGUGGACUUCUGCUUUCUUUCAAAUGGAGAUCUAGCUGCCAUAACAAAGAGAGAGAGAUGGCCAUUAGUGCAAUCUCUUAUUUGAAAUGGAGUGAAUAGUGUUGUGCAACUGAAGAAAAAAAGGGAAAGAGCCAUAAAGGCAUCAGCAAUUCUUAGAAGAAAAAUGGACACGCAUGGCAUCUACAGUCCUUGGUCAGAGACAGUGAUCCUAUCCACCAAAAAGUCUAAUAUUUAAGUAAAUAUCUAUUUCUGUAAGAGCUGAAAAUGUUAUUAUUUGUAUGGAUGUAUUAUGGAGCACCUUCAGGUGAGAGGGAGGUAUCGGGAGACACAGGGUAACUCACAGAUACAUCAGUGUCACAAAAAUAUGAAGAAAAAAACUAAAGGAGCAAAACAACAACAACCCCAAACUGUCCCAGUGUAACUCAAUGGAGUUGUGUGUUCAGACAGAGGGCAGUUAACAGACAACCAGAUGUGCAGAACUAACAGAACUCAGUGUUUAGUGAGAGAAGGAAAGGUUGAACAAAAAGAGGAGGAAUUUCUUAUCUUGAAGAAUACGCCCUUAAGACAGUCACAAACCCUUCUGCUUCUGAGGUGUAAAGAUGUCUACAAUUUUCACCAUCCAUCUGGUGAUGGUCCCAGGGGUGUAGCAAGGUUGGAGUGGGCCCAGAGACAAGAUUUUAAAAUGGGCCCCCUCCUCACUGAAGCUCAGCUCAUGAAGUAAAGAAAUCUUAUAUGAGGCUGAACCUAUGUGCCACAAUAGAACAUAAUCCUAAAUUAUUUUUUUUAACAGGUUUUGUAAAUCAUUUAAUGGUACUAGAGAAAGACAUGCUGAUCUGGUAGCUCCAGGUCUUAACACUCACAUCAGUUUUGGAGGAUGAAUACAACUGAAGGAAGCCUGGGCAGGUGCGUGGCUGGGGGAGUCAGUCAUGUGACUUGCCUCUGGGCGGGGGGGCAAGGCAGUGUGCCCCCAGACAACUGUCUCCCCUUGCCCUAUUAUAGUUACACCCCUGGAGGGUCCAUAUCUGUUUCAUAUAACAGCUAUCAUGCACACACUCUCUGCAUCUGUACAAAACCACCAUGGAGUAGGUAGUCCCAAGAACUUUUGAGGGCUGGGAAUGACUUGGGUCCUCUCCUUCAGGAUUUCCUUUGAAUAAUCUCAUGUACCAAGAUACACCACUGUUGUCAUUAAUCAUUUUUUUUACGACUGUAUACAAGAUAAUGUACAGUAAAUAAAAUAUCACCUAACUAAUUUAAA